RNAcentral lists this ribosomal RNA (198 nucleotides) under uncultured bacterium. RNAcentral's name for it is "partial 16S ribosomal RNA". It matches the Rfam family "Bacterial small subunit ribosomal RNA", at positions 328 to 539 of the family's 1533-position model. The record is from RNAcentral.
ACGCUCGACACCUACGGGGGGCAGCAGUGGGGAAUAUUGCACAAUGGGGGAAACCCUGAUGCAGCGACGCCGCGUGAGCGAAGAAGUAUUUCGGUAUGUAAAGCUCUAUCAGCAGGGAAGAUAAUGACGGUACCUGACUAAGAAGCUCCGGCUAAAUACGUGCCAGCAGCAGCGGUAAUCUGAGCGGGCUGGCAAGGC